This 1035-nucleotide non-coding RNA is filed under the name Drosophila virilis. Its description in RNAcentral is "Eukaryotic large subunit ribosomal RNA". It matches the Rfam family "Eukaryotic large subunit ribosomal RNA", at positions 2019 to 2967 of the family's 3401-position model. The record is from Rfam by way of RNAcentral. Lineage: Eukaryota; Metazoa; Arthropoda; Insecta; Diptera; Drosophilidae.
AAAUGCGGGUAGAGCAUCGCUCGACGUGGAGUUGCGUCAUACAACCGGGUUCCGUGACCCAGAUUACGGAAGAGGCUUAGAUAGUCCUCGUGCCAAACCAAGGUAGAAGUCACAACCAAACAGUCGUGUCUUUAAUUGGUACCUGCGGAAUUGUUCCAAGGGGGCGGUGAUUGACGCUUGAAUUAAUCCUAUACUAGGAACCGUGAGAUUAAGCCAUCGCGGCAGGUGCUCACGUUAAGCCCACUGACUUUCAUGUCCCUAUCUACUAUCUAGCGAAACCACAGCCAAGGGAACGGGCUUGGAAUAAUUAGCGGGGAAAGAAGACCCUUUUGAGCUUGACUCUAAUCUGGCAGUGUAAGGAGACAUAAGAGGUGUAGAAUAAGUGGGAGAUAUUAGACUUCGGUUUGGUAUCGACAAUGAAAUACCACUACUCUUAUUGUUUCCUUACUUACUUGAUUAAAUGGAACGUGUAUCAUUUCCUAGCCAUUAUACGGAUAUAAUUAUUAUGUCUUAUGGUAUUGGGUUUUGAUGCAAGCUUCUUGAUCAAAGUAUCACGAGUUUGUUAUAUAAUCGCAAACAAAUUCUUUAAUGAGAGAAUGCAUUUAUGUAUUAUUGAUUUAAAAAUUUGGUAUAACUCCAAUUACUCAGGUAUGAUCCAAUUCAAGGACAUUGCCAGGUAGGGAGUUUGACUGGGGCGGUACAUCUCUCAAAUAAUAACGGAGGUGUCCCAAGGCCAGCUCAGUGCGGACAGAAACCACACAUAGAGCAAAAGGGCAAAUGCUGACUUGAUCUCGGUGUUCAGUACACACAGGGACAGCAAAAGCUCGGCCUAUCGAUCCUUUUGGUUUAAAGAGUUUUUAACAAGAAGUGUCAGAAAAGUUACUCAUAGGGAUAACUGGCUUGUGGCGGCCAAGCGUUUCAUAGCGACGUCGCUUUUUGAUCCUUCGAUGUCGGGCUCUUCCUAUUCACUGUGAAGUAAAAUUCACCAAGCGUUGGAUUGUUCACCCAUGCAAGGGAACGUGAGCUGGGUUUAGA